RNAcentral lists this ribosomal RNA (487 nucleotides) under Tepidimonas sp. RNAcentral describes it as "bacterial SSU rRNA". It matches the Rfam family "Bacterial small subunit ribosomal RNA", at positions 278 to 757 of the family's 1533-position model. The record is from RNAcentral. Lineage: Bacteria; Pseudomonadati; Pseudomonadota; Betaproteobacteria; Burkholderiales.
GAUCCGUAGCUGGUCUGAGAGGACGACCAGCCACACUGGGACUGAGACACGGCCCAGACUCCUACGGGAGGCAGCAGUGGGGAAUUUUGGACAAUGGGCGCAAGCCUGAUCCAGCAAUGCCGCGUGCGGGAAGAAGGCCUUCGGGUUGUAAACCGCUUUUGGCAGGAACGAAACGGUGUCCGCUAAUACCGGGCGCUAAUGACGGUACCUGCAGAAUAAGCACCGGCUAACUACGUGCCAGCAGCCGCGGUAAUACGUAGGGUGCGAGCGUUAAUCGGAAUUACUGGGCGUAAAGCGUGCGCAGGCGGUUGUGUAAGACAGGCGUGAAAUCCCCGGGCUCAACCUGGGAAUGGCGCUUGUGACUGCACGGCUGGAGUGCGGCAGAGGGGGAUGGAAUUCCGCGUGUAGCAGUGAAAUGCGUAGAUAUGCGGAGGAACACCGAUGGCGAAGGCAAUCCCCUGGGCCUGCACUGACGCUCAUGCACGAA